This 424-nucleotide ribosomal RNA is filed under the name uncultured bacterium. Its description in RNAcentral is "bacterial SSU rRNA". It matches the Rfam family "Bacterial small subunit ribosomal RNA", at positions 358 to 774 of the family's 1533-position model. The record is from RNAcentral.
AGGAUCAUUCGCAAUGGGCGAAAGCCUGACGAUGCGACGCUGCGUGGAGGAUGAAGGCCUUCGGGUCGUAAACUCCUGUCAUGAGGGAAAAGGCGAGGGGGCCCAACACGCCCCUUAGUUGAUGGUACCUCAAGAGGAAGGGACGGCUAACUCUGUGCCAGCAGCCGCGGUAAUACAGAGGUCCCUAGCGUUGUUCGGAUUUACUGGGCGUAAAGGGCACGUAGGUGGCUAGGCGUGUCGCGUGUGAAAUCUCCGGGCCCAACCCGGAAAGUGCGCGCGAAACUACCUGGCUGGAGUACGGGAGAGGGAGUCGGAAUGCAGGGUGUAGCGGUGAAAUGCGUUGAUAUCCUGCAGAACACCGGAGGCGAAGGCGGACUCCUGGAACGUUACUGACGCUAAGGUGCGAAAGUCGGGGGAGCAAACA